UCCGAUGUGGUCUAGUGGCAGGAUAUCUGGCUCUCACCCAGGAGGCCCGGGUUCAAUUCCCGGCAUCGGAA
Molecule: non-coding RNA, 71 nt
Organism: Onthophagus taurus
Lineage: Eukaryota; Metazoa; Arthropoda; Insecta; Coleoptera; Scarabaeidae
Source: the annotation of a RefSeq genome assembly